Molecule: long non-coding RNA, 1082 nt
Organism: Vigna angularis (adzuki bean)
Lineage: Eukaryota; Viridiplantae; Streptophyta; Magnoliopsida; Fabales; Fabaceae
Exons: 7
Source: RefSeq, a predicted model, not a curated record
CGUACGUACUUCGUUUCUUUGGUAGAACCUUGAAUAAUAUUAAAGUCAACAGUUCUAGACAGAUUUGUAUUAAUGUAAAGUUUCAAACUUAUCCCUACUUAUGAUCUUGGUGUCAAAAGUUGCAUCCAUAAAGCUAUCUUCCCUUCUCUUUUACUUAAAUAUUUUUAAUUCAUUUUUUUAAUCUCUUAUUGAUUAGCUCCUUCAUCUUCUACCCAGAUUAAUUAUAUUAUUUUUGUAUGCAAGGGCUUUACAGGGAAACUAAAAUGAAGUUGGUGCAAGGUGUGCAAACGGUGGGUGGUAGGAAGGUUUGGGAAGCAGUGGUUGGAUAUCCAGGGAAACUUUAGGUAACCAUUUGCUUUCAGGACACAAAAGAUCAUUGUAGGCUAGGCUCCUAACUACAGGUGAACUGUAGUAAACUAAAGCUACCGCAGCAUAUAAAACUGAUGAAGUGUUUGCUCUCAGAUAUUCACUUUCUUUGAAGUCUGAACCUGAACGUAACCAUAACCCAACUAAAAGAAACACAACUCCAAAUCCAUUUCAUCUCCACUCAGAGGAAAGAGGUGCCGAGAAAGAGAAGAAAUUGAUCAUGGAACUUCUGCACAAAGAGUUGGAGGAGGAAAUAGCAAGGAUUCCCAAGGCUAAUCCUUACCCUUACACCACCGAUUAUCUUGUGAUCCCACCAAAACCAUGAUAGUUAGAAAUUUGAUUAACUGGUUGAAUACCCAAAUUUAUAUAAAGGUCCAAAUUAAUUGGUUGAGCACGAUACCACGCCUUACGUAUCUUUUCCAUCAACCUUGUUUUCCUUCAUUCUCCUGUUGCUUUUUAGUGCUGGUUUGGUAUCAUUCUGAGAGCAGGAAGCACUUCAACCCCAAGUUUGAAAAAUGUUUAUUACUGGUUUUUUCUUCUUGUUAUAUUAAUAUAUGUUUUGGUUUUGAAGGCGCUUUGUUCAUGUUGCAUCUUAGUCUCUCCUGUACUAUUAAGGUUUACUGUUAAAUUCUGUUGUUGCCUUGUUAAAGUUAAAAACAUAAAAGAAAGAUGAAUUUUAUGCGUGAAAAGUUUCCUAUAAUAUUGGAAAGAUGUGC